Molecule: ribosomal RNA, 702 nt
Filed under: Triticum aestivum (bread wheat)
Lineage: Eukaryota; Viridiplantae; Streptophyta; Magnoliopsida; Poales; Poaceae
Description: partial small subunit ribosomal RNA
Source: RNAcentral
AUGUUCACGGCUUUCCGGGUGGACGAACAUACGUUCAAGGUGUGUUCUAUUUUGGGCAUGUCAGAUUCAGAACCUGAAGACGCGGACAAAGGAAGGAACUACUUCGUCAGAGCCUCGAUAGGCGAAGGCAAGUACUACUGCCAAUGCUGCAAAUUCGAACGGGACGGCAUUGUGUGUUGUCACAUACUAAAAGUCAUGGACAUGAACGCUGUGACACGCAUGCCCCGCCAUUUCAUAAGGAGGCGAUGGACUUGGGACGCUGACGACGCGUUGGCGCCGCAGACAACACACGCAGUUCUGGCUGUGCAUGACGAGAGACCUGAGUCAACAAUGGAAGCCGUGAGGCACGUUGUGCUGACAAAGAACUAUGCUGAGCUAAUUGAUGAAGCGUGCAAGAGUGAUGACACAGCGAGACUCGCAGAAAAACACAGGAAGGCACUGAAAAGAGAGCUUGAUGAGAUCAAAAAAAGGAAAGCCGAGGAAGCCUUACACCGGUUCCCCCGCACAUCAAGUGUGCCUUCAUCCACGGGGCCAUCGUCUGAAAACUCAGAGAUAGGAUCUGGAACAGCAAGCACACAAACCCAGGUCAGGAACCCACCCCGUUCCAUCACAAAGGGUCGUCCGAGAGAGAUAAGGUACAAGUCGGUACUGGAGAUUCAAGCAAAACACAAGAAAACGAAGAAAGGGGCGGGCAAUCCAUGA